Molecule: small RNA, 78 nt
Filed under: Flavobacterium sp. A45
Lineage: Bacteria; Pseudomonadati; Bacteroidota; Flavobacteriia; Flavobacteriales; Flavobacteriaceae
Description: Flavo-1 RNA
Rfam family: Flavo-1 RNA
Source: Rfam by way of RNAcentral
AGUGAACUUCGUUUGAAGUGAAAAUCCUUUUUGUUUUUCUUUAAAACAAAAAGAUUGUAACGAAUAGCGGGAACCAUG